This 87-nucleotide transfer RNA is filed under the name Deltaproteobacteria bacterium RBG_16_54_11. Its description in RNAcentral is "tRNA-Leu". It matches the Rfam family "tRNA". From Rfam's summary of the family: Transfer RNA (tRNA) molecules are approximately 80 nucleotides in length. Their secondary structure includes four short double-helical elements and three loops (D, anti-codon, and T loops). Lineage: Bacteria; Deltaproteobacteria. RNAcentral also lists the same sequence under 2 other names. The record is from RNAcentral.
GCCGAAGUGGCGGAACUGGUAGACGCGCUAGGUUCAGGGUCUAGUGGGCGUAUGCCUGUGCGGGUUCGAGUCCCGCCUUCGGCACCA